CACAACCAUUACACUAAUUAAUAGACCAAAGAGAGCAUGAAUGAGCAUGAU
Molecule: small RNA, 51 nt
Filed under: Arabidopsis thaliana (thale cress)
Lineage: Eukaryota; Viridiplantae; Streptophyta; Magnoliopsida; Brassicales; Brassicaceae
Description: ATSL298050
Source: RNAcentral